Vespa mandarinia (Asian giant hornet) is the source of this 552-nucleotide long non-coding RNA. The record is from RefSeq and is a predicted model, not a curated record. NCBI's taxonomy places the organism in Eukaryota, Metazoa, Arthropoda, Insecta, Hymenoptera, Vespidae.
GCCAGAGCAGAUCCAAAUUAACACAUUCGAAGUCCACUCCUCCAUCGUAUCCGUAAUCACUGAUUAUAUUUCGGUCCAGCUCAGCAUCCAAGAACAUAACAAUUUAUAUAUAUAUAUAUAUAUAUAUAUAUAUAUAUAUCAGUGAUCGUUUGACGAAACGGCUUCCACGUUUUCGAUUAAAAUUCAUUAAAGCUUCUGAGAUUAGUGUGCUUCUGAAAAUGGACUUGAAAGAGCAUGCGACGCAUAUCAAUCGAAGAAGAAACUAGCGAAGGGAAAGAAGGAAAAAAGAAAUAGAUGUGUCGGGUACAGGUCGUGUGGAAUGCAGCCAGCCGAGAGGCUUCCAACAUUCAUAAAUUUAUACCAACUGCCUUCUGCCAGGUUCGUUUUAUCGUCUGACAAUAUGCCCCGAGCCUUCUCUGAUCGGUUCAAACAUUCAAAAUCAACUCAUUCGGGCCAUUUGAUUAUUUCUAACGAGAUUGAGAAAGAAUCGGUGGUAAUGGGUAAAAGGAAGAAAGAAAGAAAGAAAGAAAGAAAGAAAGAAAGAAAAAAAAA